UCUCACUUGCUCUCGCAUCAUAUCUUCCUCCUUUCUAGACUGCAAUAAGAGACAACCACAGAUUAGUUGUAUAAAAAAUUAACAGUAAUCUUAAUACAUAGCAAAUCUCCCUUGAACAUUAAUGUCCACCAUUCUGUUCUAAAAAAGUACCUGUGGCUCAAUUUCAAGCUGUUGUUCAAACUGCAACCUUGCUGCACGCUCCACCUGCUCCUUUUUUUCCCUGUCAUCCUGUCUUUUCUUCUCCCACCUCAACCUUGCAGCCACAGACUUCGCCUGUAAUACAUAUUUUGAAACAUACAUUAAUGUUUUUUUUUCUCUUGUGUCAUACUAAUUCUUUAAGCUUCUUGAUUCUUAAUUAAGCUCUCAAGAAGCUAGGGAGUUAAAGAGUACGGAUAGACCGUAGAAUACAACUGAGUUUUGAAUAUUUGGGUUGAACGUUUGCAAAGGAUGAAUUUGAAGAUUGUCCAAAUUCAACUUGUUGUCGCAGAAUUAGAUCAGAGUAUGAUUUUGAAGUUGUUCCAAAUACAACUUGUUGUUGCUGAGUUCGAGAAUCUAAAACUAUAUGUUGUGCUUGGGUUGUUUGUUGUCCAUCCUCGCCAGCCUGCCUUGAUGUUUUCUUCUGCCUCUUUGAAGAACUGAUACAUAAAUCUAUUCAUUAAGCAUACUGAUCAAUAAAAACGUUAGAAUUCAAUGCUACAUAAUCAAAGACUAACCUCAUGGUGUUUCAAAUCAGUUCGACAACGUCUGCAAACGUUUACUAUCCCAAAUACUAUGAAUUGAUAUUCCUUCACACAGAUAGUUUUGGAGAAUGAAGCUAUUCUCCGUUUGUGAUGCUGUACGAAUUUCACUUAUAGACUGUUAAGCACUCUUAUAUAAGACGUAAAUCAACUUAUAUUAAGAAACCUAGUUGUGUCUAUACUUUGGAAUUUCCCAAGUUUAGGAAACUGAAUUCUAUUAAAGUUCUUUUUCUUAAGAUUCCCUAUUGUUUUUGUCUACAAAGUAUAAGAAACCGAAUUCUAUUUGAUUUGUUUCAAUGGGUAUUUCAGGUUUAGGAAACAAUUCGUCCGAUCAGUACACUUGUAUUCCUCUUAAUAUUUCGUGUGCAAGACAAUUUGUCCUUUAGGUUGCUUUUUCUUGAAGCUGACUUGUCAUUACCUUUUGUGCUGAUUUCUUUACGUUCAGAUUUCAGAAUCCUUGCUUCAAAAUACACUCAAUUGCUUGGUAGAUGUGGUUCAUUCUGAAACUGCAUCUUUGGCUUCCUUCGCAAUGCAAGCACUGGGUCAUAUUGGAUUGCGUGGUCCAAUGCCUGUUCGGCACUCUGGUUCAGGUGAAAUUUUGGUGGUUUUGCAAGAGUUGGCUAAAUUAGUCGCUGGAGAGGAUAUCAAAGCAAUCCAGAGAACUGUGGUCUCUCUUGAUUUAAUAUUUAGUCUAUGACAAUCUAGCUGCCCAUGUUAUCAUAACAUAAAAAAGUUGUGUUAAACACUAUCAGCUAAGAGUUCAAGUUAGUGCUAGUGCAGGGUAGUCAACAUAUCAAAUUAGUCACACAUGACCGUUCAACAGCUCCUAGAACAGAUGUAUCAUUCUUAGAUUUGAUGCAAGGCGUACUUCCAUAGUUAUAGCUUCGAUAGAUUUUUUACUAAUUGCAGAAGGUAUCCAAAUUCGCUUCGCCAAUUACUACUAAUUCGACUGCUGAGUCAAGUUGCUCUUCUUCAAAAGGCUUUGAUACAUAACCAUCCAUUCCGCAUUCCAUGCAUUUCUCAUAUGUUGCCUGGAAUACAUCAUCUGUCAUUGCUAGUGAGGACAAUUCAAAAUCCUACCACUAUGAAGAGGCAGUUGCUGUGAAUAAUUAUACGAAGCUGUGUAUAAUGUACCUAGUUUUUUAGUUUUGUACGAAGCUGGAAUUGUAUCCAUUUUUGGAAAUGGUCUUAGGUCUGUGUAUAAAGCUCAUGCCCCUAUUUAGGAAACUGAAUUCUAUUAGAGUUCUUUUUCUUAAGACUCCCUAUUGCUUUAUGAUUGAUACUACAGUGGAAGAGAGCAUUAGAUAAUUAACUUGUUAAGUACCUUCUAGAACAGGAGUAUCAUUCGUAGAUUGAUUUUUUACUAAUUGACAGAAGGUAUCAAAAUUCGCUAGGCCAAUUACUAUUAAUUUGAAUCUGUAAGAUGCAGAACUUAGUCUGUAAAAUGAAUUAGUCUCGCACAUCGGCACAUGAUCACUGACUUCUGACUUUAUCAUCAAUAUGUACGUUUAAAAUUUACAGCUGCUAAAGUUAAACUGUAGUGUAGAGCUAUCCAUUAUUGCAGUUGCCAUAACAAAACGAUUUUGUUGUAGGCAUGUAUCCGAAAACAGUAGAAAAGCCUGACAAACUUGUGACAGGAAGAUGCAGAGAAUGGGAGAAAAACUUGCAAGAUGGACGCAGCGUAAACUUGAAAAGGAUUCAUUAGUUUCUCAUGCAUCUUCAAUUUCUGAGGCAAAUAUAAGACCUAUAAAUCUUGCCGACCAGUUUUGUUUCUUUGGUUUAUGAGGUUAAGGUAUUAAUCAUGGGGUUGGCAGACACCAACCUUAGAAAACACAUGACGAAGUCCAUAGUUCAUAUAAGGAAUACUCCAAUACAUCUCCUACUAAUAAUAGUCUGCAUUGGACCCUCGAAAUAGUGAAUUCUGCCUACGGUUUCACUUGAGUUGUGUAUAGUGUACCCAAUAAUAGUCUCCUAUCAAUAAUGUAGACUUCAGUGUGUCCUUCAUGUUUCCCAAAUGCCAUGAAUUCAUUUUUUGAUUAUUAAUUUGAUUUUUUGUUGUUGUUGCAGAGCGCUCCUCCAACAAUAUUGGAGAGUCACCAGCUGUUGUGUUGAAGUCCUUGACACCCGUAUAUGGUGAUGCCAGUGCUGGCAGCUCCUUUUUGGAUGUCGGUGAUGUUGAGUGUGCCGACAUGCUUCGACUCCAGAGCGGCAAUGAGGUUGUUGUUAAGGGAAGAACUGAGUGGAGGCCCAAGCCGGUGAAAAAUUUUGGUGUUCCAGGCCAGUCCGGUACAAAGCUUGUCGGUAGCAUCAGUGGUAAAUCUACUUGCUAGCUCUCCGAAGCUUUCAUCUGCAGCUGCAAACAUCUUAUUGCUAUAUCUCGAAAUUGCUUAUCUUAUUGCUAUAUCUCGAAAUUGCUUAUCUUAUUGCUAUAUCUCGAAAUUGCUUGGGUAGAAAUCUUAUUGCUAUAUCUCGAAAUUGCUUGGGUAGAAAUCCUGUAUGCCUCGGAUAUGUCUUUUUUUUUUUUCUUUUGUUCCUUUUCUUUUCUAUAUGUUUUUACAGUUCCUCUCUUGUUUUCUUUCUUUUUUGUUCCCCUACAAAAAAUUGGAAGUCUGUGUAAUUAGCGUCUCCUGUUUUGUACGAAGCUGGAAUUGUAUCCAUUUUUGGCAAUGGA
Molecule: RNA transcript, 3408 nt
Organism: Papaver somniferum (opium poppy)
Lineage: Eukaryota; Viridiplantae; Streptophyta; Magnoliopsida; Ranunculales; Papaveraceae
Exons: 3
Source: RefSeq, a predicted model, not a curated record